AGUCACGGCCAUAUCCGCUGGAAAGCACCGGAUCCCGUCCGAUCUCCGCAGUUAAACCAGUGUGAGCUUGCGCAGUACUGAAGCGGGAGACCCUUCGGGAAAAGCGAGUGCUGUGAUUU
RNAcentral lists this ribosomal RNA (119 nucleotides) under Trachipleistophora hominis. The record is from RNAcentral. Lineage: Eukaryota; Fungi; Microsporidia; Pleistophoridae.